GACGAACGCUGGCGGCGUGCUUAACACAUGCAAGUCGAACGGAAAGGCCCUGCUUUUGUGGGGUGCUCGAGUGGCGAACGGGUGAGUAACACGUGAGUAACCUGCCCUUGACUUUGGGAUAACUUCAGGAAACUGGGGCUAAUACCGGAUAGGAGCUCCUGCUGCAUGGUGGGGGUUGGAAAGUUUCGGCGGUUGGGGAUGGACUCGCGGCUUAUCAGCUUGUUGGUGGGGUAGUGGCUUACCAAGGCUUUGACGGGUAGCCGGCCUGAGAGGGUGACCGGCCACAUUGGGACUGAGAUACGGCCCAGACUCCUACGGGAGGCAGCAGUGGGGAAUAUUGCACAAUGGGCGGAAGCCUGAUGCAGCAACGCCGCGUGCGGGAUGACGGCCUUCGGGUUGUAAACCGCUUUCGCCUGUGACGAAGCGUGAGUGACGGUAAUGGGUAAAGAAGCACCGGCUAACUACGUGCCAGCAGCCGCGGUGAUACGUAGGGUGCGAGCGUUGUCCGGAUUUAUUGGGCGUAAAGGGCUCGUAGGUGGUUGAUCGCGUCGGAAGUGUAAUCUUGGGGCUUAACCCUGAGCGUGCUUUCGAUACGGGUUGACUUGAGGAAGGUAGGGGAGAAUGGAAUUCCUGGUGGAGCGGUGGAAUGCGCAGAUAUCAGGAGGAACACCAGUGGCGAAGGCGGUUCUCUGGGCCUUUCCUGACGCUGAGGAGCGAAAGCGUGGGGAGCGAACAGGCUUAGAUACUCUGGUAGUCCACGCUGUAAACGGUGGGUACUAGGUGUGGGGUCCAUUCCACGGGUUCCGUGCCGUAGCUAACGCUUUAAGUACCCCGCCUGGGGAGUACGGCCGCAAGGCUAAAACUCAAAGGAAUUGACGGGGCCCCGCACAAGCGGCGGAGCAUGCGGAUUAAUUCGAUGCAACGCGUAGAACCUUACCUGGGUUUGACAUGGAUCGGGAGUGCUCAGAGAUGGGUGUGCCUCUUUUGGGGUCGGUUCACAGGUGGUGCAUGCCUGUCGUCAGCUCGUGUCGUGAGAUGUUGGGUUAAGUCCCGCAACGAGCGCAACCCUUGUUCACUGUUGCCAGCACGUUAUGGUGGGGACUCAGUGGAGACCGCCGGGGUCAACUCGGAGGAAGGUGGGGAUGACGUCAAGUCAUCAUGCCCCUUAUGUCCAGGGCUUCACGCAUGCUACAAUGGCUGGUACAGAGAGUGGCGAGCCUGUGAGGGUGAGCGAAUCUCGGAAAGCCGGUCUCAGUUCGGAUUGGGGUCUGCAACUCGACCUCAUGAAGUCGGAGUCGCUAGUAAUCGCAGAUCAGCAACGCUGCGGUGAAUACGUUCCCGGG
Molecule: ribosomal RNA, 1343 nt
Filed under: uncultured bacterium
Lineage: Bacteria
Description: 16S ribosomal RNA
Rfam family: Bacterial small subunit ribosomal RNA
Source: RNAcentral